AUGAAUUUACAGACAGGUGGAGGGGACAGUGACAUCUCAAGGAACUUUGCACACAUUGGAUAUUUUCUGUGUGGACCUUUGGGCUCUAGACUCACGGUAAGCAUGAAAGAGGGCCAACAUGUUUUCCUUUAUAGGGCAGCAUCAGGAGUGCAUAUUUGUUGCAACAUUUAUUCUGUCUGGCCAACUCUGCUGUGUGUGCCAACCAUGCUGAUCACACAACAAUUUAGGUUUUUGGCAGAUUUUCCUGCCAUUUGCGUUGGGGUAAAGGUAAUAUUCUGUGUAAAAAGACUGUGUAGACUAAUAUGUCUGAGGACCUCUAAGGCAAUCCCAGGACAGUUUGGAUGUUGAGGUGCAGUAAUGAAAUCUUGGUAAGCACAACAUGUUCACUACAAAUAGUAAUUGUCAUCAGCAUGGCCCACUAGAGCUGUGGUUCAAUUUCUUUUCCCUUGUAUACAGUUAAGCAGAGGCUCUGAACUAUCCUAUAAUGAAGAAAUACAUUACACGUGCCAUGCAUCUUGACAUGUUAUCAGGGUUUUACUGUCAAACAUGAGUGAAUACUGAAAACAUCCUAUUGGUAAGAUGAUGGUAAUCGCAGAUGGGGAAAAUGAAAUUAAAUCUACCUGAAUUUUCAGGUUAGUAAUGAGUCAAGGGAAGGAAGUAUCCAUGAGCAUGCUUUUCAAAGAAGUGGCUAAAUAAUUUAGUAGGAUACUUAAAUUCUUGGAUUAUGCUUUUCAGUUUGUUGGAUUCUAAUGAGACAGAGAAAAGCGUAUUGUAACAUUUUUAUGCUUGAGCACAAUAAAAAGAAUGAUAUUUAAGAAACAAUCAGUGUGUGGUCUUGCCUUCUUGAAUGAAAAUGAAAAGAAAACAACUUCCUUUAAUAAAUCUAAAUAACAUAUAAUGAUAAUGUUAGUAUCAGCAAAAUGAUAGCAUUUAUUAUGUACCAGGUGCUGGCUAACCAUUUUACCUGUAUUAACUCAUUUAAUCCUUCCAACAAUACUAUGAAGUUGGUAUUG
This 1013-nucleotide long non-coding RNA is filed under the name Papio anubis (olive baboon). RNAcentral describes it as "lncRNA (ENSPANG00000048579.1)". The record is from RNAcentral. Lineage: Eukaryota; Metazoa; Chordata; Mammalia; Primates; Cercopithecidae.